Non-coding RNA from Salmo salar (Atlantic salmon), 71 nucleotides. The record is from Rfam. Lineage: Eukaryota; Metazoa; Chordata; Actinopteri; Salmoniformes; Salmonidae.
GCCUGAGUGGUUAAGUGGUAGAAUUCUUGCUUGCCAUGCGGGGGGCCCGGGUUUGGUUCCCAGCCCAUGCA